This 3392-nucleotide long non-coding RNA is filed under the name Equus asinus (donkey). Its description in RNAcentral is "lncRNA (ENSEASG00005037388.1)". The record is from RNAcentral. Lineage: Eukaryota; Metazoa; Chordata; Mammalia; Perissodactyla; Equidae.
GGUCCCUCUGGUUGUGCUGUGUGGGACGCCACCUCAGCGUGGCUUGAUGAGCGGUGCCAUGUCCACACCCAGGAUCCGAACUGGUGAAACACUGGGCCGUGGAGGCGGAGCACGUGAACUCACCCACUAGGCCACGGGCCUGCCCCUGGGAUUUUCGUUUAAAAUCAACAAAUAAAUCUUAAAGAGGGGCCGGCCUGGCCGAGUGGUUAAGUUUGCGUGCUCCGCUUCGGUGGCUCAGGGUUUCACCCAUUAGGAUCCUGGGCGCGCCAGGUCGGAUCCUUUUGAAGCGGUGGCAUCUGCAGCCCUUUGUUAAAGGCUCUACUUCCCAUCAGGCAGGGCAGCCUCUGUCUGCCUUCCACGGGUGCCGACAGGAAGCCUAGGCCUGUGGUUUUCCAGGAAGAAGGCAUAGGAGCUGAGCCCAAACUUUGCCUUCCUUAAAACUGCAAAGCUGGUGGUAGAAAUGUACAUGAGCCGCUGGGGUGGGAAGGCAUGUGAAUGUUUGCAAUGUAAGUGUUUAAUGAGAGAAGACGCAGGAAAACGGGGGGACGCCUUACCUUUGGUUGAGUGGGAAAGAAAUGAGAGAAAGGGGCCCAUUUACUGGGGGGAGAGGUCAAAGGUGUCUGCUUCCGGGUUGCCAAUGGGCCUGUUAGGUUUGUUGAUGACGAUAAACCUGAUAGAACUGGGUUUUUUCUUUCUUUCUUUUUUUUUUUUAAAAAAAAGCUUUGGUUAAGAGAGCCAUAACCUAGAGGGCUCUUUUAUUUUUCUUAAAUGGGGAAAUUACUUCGACCUAGAAGAGCUUUUUUUUAAAAACUUCACUCUAUAUUUAUUAUCAUUAGUAUUGAUAUAAUUUUGAAACUUUUAUGCAUAUAGAAUAAAGCAUGAAUUACUCCCUUGGGGAGGAGAUUGUUACAAAUGAAGAUUCCUAGGCCAGACUGGUUACAGAUGGGCCUCAGAGCAAACGUGUGGAAUGAUGGAUAUAAGGCUGAAUUUCUUAACUGUCGAAAAAGUAAGAAAGAACUUGAAAUUAGUAUGAGAAAUAAAACAGAUGACGGAAACUUUUUCGUGAAACAGUGCAACUACAAUAUGCGAAAAAGUAGACAGGUAAAGCACACACACUUGGGAAGUGGAAACAUCUCGAAGUACCGUAGAUGUGAGAAAUAGAAAGAUGACACUGCAGAGCCAUAGUCAGCUGAGCAUGGACGUUGAGAUACUUGUCCGGUAAUUAUCAGGGCCUUGAAGUAUAUGAAGUCCAUUUUUGCACCCCCACCCUCUUCUCUCCCUCUCAGUUUUCCACCCUGCAUUUUCACAGUCUGGGCGGCCCAGGAAAUGCCCUGUUGUCUCGGCUUUCCCUUGGCUCCACAAUUCACAUUUGCCUGCUAUCCCCACUUGAUCAGAUACACCAGCCGCUGGGAGAGGCUCAGGGGGUUUCUCUCCCGGGCAACUUCUUUUUCACAGUGAGUGCCCUGACAUCCAGAUGUCUCAACCGAAAGGACUGAGUUCAUAGUGAGAACCUCAGGUAUUCCACAGAGCCCAGAGGAGGAGGUAGCCAGGGGCAGGUGGAUGGUCUGUUCAGAUGUGCUCGUAGCAGCAGCCGAAGUGAGGAGAGUGUAAUUCACAAGAACGUCACUUCCCGUUUUUGGAGCUCAUCAGUGGGCAGGCACUGUGCAUUUUACUCAUUGUCUGAUUUAAUACACAGAACGAGCCUUUCGGCUAAGUUUUACGGAUAAACUGAGGAGGACAGUAUGUAAAUUAACGGGCACAGCUAUGUUCCAAUAAAACUUUACAAAACUGGCAAAGAGCUGGACAUUGUGGCCCCUCUAGGUCCACCCACAGAGGCUCUGGCUUAUCCAGCAGCUGCCUUGAAGGGCUGGACAGCUAAGCCCUAAAUGCAGGGAGGUUAACACCUAGUGGGACAGGCAAAAAGGCCAAUGAGAGAGCAGAAGCAGGAAGGUGCUGGCAGAUAAAUUGCUCAUACUUCCCUCCUCCCCCAAUGGAUGUUUCCGACAAGUGGUUUCAUACAGCCCUGAGCAACCAGCUGUGUUUCUUGGAAAUCUGUGGCCAGUUCAUAAAGAUCUCAUUGGACAGCAGAUUCUGAUUCCGGAUGUCUGGGGCGAGGUGCAAGACUGUGUUUCUAGCAAGCUCCCAGUGAUGUGGAUGCUGCUGGUCAAUGGCUCGUACUUUGAGCAGCAAGGCCCUAGAGCUUGUGUCUCAACCUGAAAAAGAAAGGGAACAUCCAGGCCGUAUUUAAAUUUGGGGAGGGCUUAGUUCAAAACAGAUGCAGAAAAACUGAUCAACAUCCAACUAAGCCAAAGAGCAUUGUAAGGCCCCAGGGAGUGAGGACUGUUUGGGACCAGCUUCGGACAGAAGUCAGGAUGCUGGGAGGAAAAGGAAGCAAAUGGAAGAGGAAGAAGAUAGAUAAGGACUGGGAGGGAUAAACGAAAGCGAUUUCGUGUUGAGAAAGAGAGAAUGUCCUUUCAGGUUGAAACUUAAAGAACAUUCCCCCAGUCUAGAUCAAAGCAGAGGCCGGGGCUCUGAUACACUCUGACAGAAGCGCUUUUUGCACAGAUGAGCAGCUCAGUGCCUUCAAAUGGACCAAUCUAAUUGCAAACGAAUCCCACCUCAUUGACACCAUUUUAAAUGCUUUCUCUCUGAAACCAACUAGCCAGUCAUUAAAUAAAUAAAGCUCAAAUGGAAAGCAAAACAGGGUUCACUUGACAGAGAUUCGAAUUUCAAUUCACAGCUAAAUUUGCUGGAACACAGCUAUUCUGUGAAGAAAGAACAAGUGUUAACAGUCUCAUGAAGUAAACGUAUCAAAAGUAACAGUAUAGUAAGCUGCAAUUGACAUUAGUGAUGGAAUAAACACCAAGGAAAAAGAAAAGGAAACAAAAAUACAUUAAAAGCUGCCUGUGGUAUCAGUAGUUAAUGCUAUUAUUCUUAAAUAAAUGUUUAAUGACUAAGAGAACAGAGCCACAAAUAAAUGGGCAAGCAUGAACAAUUAAGGAUAGUUCAAUGGUGAGUUAAAUCAAGGAAAGUGUUUUACAUGUAAAUCCACAUUUUGUGCUUUUUCUGAUGUGCAUGAAAGCAUAAGUAAUUCUACAUUCCUUCAUGGUUAGAAACAAUUAUUCUUACAUUUACAUAUCUAAAGACAUUUCUCUAGCAUUCUUAUAAUGAGGAAUGGCAGCAUUUCAGUUCAAUUCACCUUAUCCUAUAAACUGACAUUUGGAUCUUUCAGCUCAAAAAGAGAAAAAGUUUUUGUUUUUAAUGAAAAUUUCCAACACUCAAAAAGCAAUGUAAUGAUUUUGAGACCCAGAUGCUCAGCUGUGUAUUUGAGGUCAAUUGACAAACACUUAAGGCCGAUUCAAGGCAAAUUCUUUUCUAUAAAUCUGCUCUCU